This 293-nucleotide ribosomal RNA is filed under the name uncultured bacterium. RNAcentral describes it as "partial 16S ribosomal RNA". It matches the Rfam family "Bacterial small subunit ribosomal RNA", at positions 505 to 796 of the family's 1533-position model. The record is from RNAcentral.
GUGCCAGCAGCCGCGGUAAUACGGAGGGGGCAAGCGUUGUUCGGAAUUACUGGGCGUAAAGGGCGCGCAGGCGGCUGCUCAAGUCAGGCGUGAAAGGCCUGGGCUCAACCCGGGAAUUGCGCUUGAGACUGGGCUGGCUUGAGUGCGGGAGAGGAUGGUGGAAUUCCCAGUGUAGAGGUGAAAUUCGUAGAUAUUGGGAAGAACACCGGUGGCGAAGGCGGCCAUCUGGACCGCAACUGACGCUGAGGCGCGAAAGCGUGGGGAGCAAACAGGAUUAGAUACCCUGGUAGUCC